CCCUUAGAUGUCCGGGGCCGCACGCGCGCUACAAUGGAUGAAUCAACGCGUCAUCCUGGCCCGAAAGGGUUGGGGAACCGCUGAACCUCAUCCGUGGUUGGGAUUGGGGUUUGUAAUUAUUCCCCAUGAACUAGGAAUUCCCAGUAAGCACGAGUCAUAAGCUCGCGUUGAUUACGUCCCUGCCCUUUGUACACACCGCCCGUCGCUACUACCGAUUGGGUGAUCCGGUGAAUAAUUCGGACUGCGGCAUUGACCGGUUCCCGAUCGUUGCUGCGGAAAGUUUAGUGAACCUUAUCACUUAGAGGAAGGAGAAGUCGUAACA
This 322-nucleotide ribosomal RNA is filed under the name uncultured eukaryote. Its description in RNAcentral is "partial 18S ribosomal RNA". It matches the Rfam family "Eukaryotic small subunit ribosomal RNA", at positions 1470 to 1796 of the family's 1831-position model. The record is from RNAcentral.